RNAcentral lists this ribosomal RNA (253 nucleotides) under uncultured bacterium. RNAcentral describes it as "partial 16S ribosomal RNA". It matches the Rfam family "Bacterial small subunit ribosomal RNA", at positions 524 to 776 of the family's 1533-position model. The record is from RNAcentral.
UACGGGGGGGGCAAGCGUUGUUCGGAAUUACUGGGCGUAAAGGGCUCGUAGGCGGCCAACUAAGUCGGAUGUGAAAUCCCCAGGCUUAACCUGGGAACUGCAUCCGAUACUGAAUGGCUUGAAUCCGGGAGAGGGAUGCAGAAUUCCAGGUGUAGCGGUGAAAUGCGUAGAUAUCUGGAGGAAUACCGGUGGCGAAGGCGGCAUCCUGGACCGGCAUUGACGCUGAUGAGCGAAAGCUAGGGGAGCAAACGGG